GAUGAACGCUGGCGGCGUGCCUAAUACAUGCAAGUCGAGCGAACGGACUAUAAGCUUGCUUUUCUGAUCUUAGAGGCGGACGGGCGAGUAACACGUGGAUAACCUAGCUAUAAGACUGGGAUAACUUCGGGAAACCGGAGCUAAUACCGUAUAAUAUUUUGAUCUUAAUUGUUCAAAAGUGAUAGACGGUCAUGCUGUCUCUUAUAGAUAGCUCCGCGAUGCAUUAGCUAUUUGGUAAGGUAACGGCUAACCAAGGGAACGAUGCAUAGCAGACCUGAGAGGUGGUUGGGCAAACCGGGAACGGAGCACGGGUCCGGACUCCUACGGGAGGCAGCAUAAGGGAUUCUUCGGCAAUGGGCGAAAGCCGGACGGGGCAACGCCGCGUGGUGGAUGAGGGUCUUCGGAUCGUAAAACUCUGUGAUUAGGGAAGAACAUAGGUGUAAGUAACUGUGCACAUCUUGACGGUACCUAAUCAGAAAGCCACGGCUAACUACGUG
This 497-nucleotide ribosomal RNA is filed under the name uncultured bacterium. Its description in RNAcentral is "partial 16S ribosomal RNA". It matches the Rfam family "Bacterial small subunit ribosomal RNA", at positions 28 to 507 of the family's 1533-position model. The record is from RNAcentral.